AUGGAGCCUUUUAGAAUGAUCCCAGUUUCUAGAAGAAACCCAUGCAGCUCUGGGACUUCAGGACAUAUGGAAUCUGCAUCUUUGUUGCUGACUCCCACUUCUGUUUUAAAAGGCAGCAAGAUAAACAGAAAGUCACAUGCUCCAUCCCUGCAGAAAAGGACCACAGGUUGGACUGGACACUGCCACAGUAGACCUUUCCUCUUAUACAGUUCCAGCAUCCUCUGAAAUUGAGGAAGGUGCAUGAGAACUCACUCAAGAGAUAUUCCUUCCUUUGGAAUAAUGUGUUCUUUUGCUUGAAAUAUGUCUUUGAGAUGCAGAAGUUUUUUUUAACUGAAAUGCACUUGUAUUUCUCUGGUCAACAAAACAAGUGCUUGUUGAUAUCUUUGCUGAGCUGGCAGGCUGGCAGUCUUAUAUAGUAUCACGAAAAGGAAAACACCACUUGUAAUAACAGAUUUAGUAUGAUCACCCUUACUUUAAAGUGAAAAGAAGGAAUCAUACUUCAUCUUAAAAGAACCAUCCAUGUAAUUAUCAUUCCAACUGUAAAU
This 545-nucleotide long non-coding RNA is filed under the name Cyanistes caeruleus (blue tit). Its description in RNAcentral is "lncRNA (ENSCCEG00000014810.1)". The record is from RNAcentral. Lineage: Eukaryota; Metazoa; Chordata; Aves; Passeriformes; Paridae.